CAGCCGCCGCGGUAAUGCGAAGGGUGCAAGCGUUAAUCGGAAUUACUGGGCGUAAAGCGUGCGUAGGCGGUGAGUUAAGUCUGCUGUGAAAUCCCCGGGCUCAACCUGGGAAUGGCAGUGGAUACUGGCUCGCUAGAGUGUGUCAGAGGAUGGUGGAAUUUCCGGUGUAGCAGUGAAAUGCGUAGAGAUCGGAAGGAACAUCUGUGGCGAAGGCGACUAUCUGGGCCAACACUGACGCUGAGGCACGAAAGCGUGGGGAGCAAACAGGAUUAGAUACCCCAGUAGUCCCUGUCUCUUAUAC
Molecule: ribosomal RNA, 301 nt
Filed under: uncultured bacterium
Lineage: Bacteria
Description: partial 16S ribosomal RNA
Rfam family: Bacterial small subunit ribosomal RNA
Source: RNAcentral